AUUGAACGCUGGCGGCAUGCCUUACACAUGCAAGUCGAACGGCAGCGGGGGAGAAGCUUGCUUUUCCUGCCGGCGAGUGGCGAACGGGUGAGUAAUACAUCGGAACGUGCCCUGUAGUGGGGGAUAACUAGUCGAAAGAUUAGAUAAUACCGCAUACGACCUGAGGGUGAAAGUGGGGGACCGCAAGGCCUCAUGCUAUAGGAGCGGCCGAUGUCUGAUUAGCUAGUCGGUGGGGUAAAGGCCUACCAAGGCGACGAUCAGUAGCUGCUCUGAGAGGACGAUCAGCCACACUGGGACUGAGAACCGGACCAUAAUCCUACGGGAGGAAGCAGUUGGGAAUUUUUGACAAUGGGCGAAAGCCUGCUCCAGCAAUGCCGCGUGUGUGAAGAAUGCCUUCGGGUUGUAAAGCACUUUUGUCCGGAAAGAAAUGGCUCUGGUGAAUACCCGGGGUCGAUGACGGUACCGGAAGAGUAAGGACCGGCUAACUACGUGCCAGCAGCCGCAGUAA
Molecule: ribosomal RNA, 508 nt
Filed under: uncultured bacterium
Lineage: Bacteria
Description: partial 16S ribosomal RNA
Rfam family: Bacterial small subunit ribosomal RNA
Source: RNAcentral